This 626-nucleotide ribosomal RNA is filed under the name uncultured bacterium. RNAcentral describes it as "bacterial SSU rRNA". It matches the Rfam family "Bacterial small subunit ribosomal RNA", at positions 53 to 674 of the family's 1533-position model. The record is from RNAcentral.
UGAUGCAGUCGAGCGGCGCGCGGGGGCAACCCUGGCGGCGAGCGGCGAACGGGUGAGUAAUGCAUCGGAACGUGUCCUCUUGUGGGGGAUAACCAGUCGAAAGUCUGGCUAAUACCGCAUGAGAUCGAAAGAUGAAAGCAGGGGACCCGGAAGGGCCUUGCGCGAGAGGAGCGGCCGAUGCCGGAUUAGCUAGUUGGCGGGGUAACGGCCCACCAAGGCGACGAUCCGUAGCUGGUCUGAGAGGACGACCAGCCACACUGGGACUGAGACACGGCCCAGACUCCUACGGGAGGCAGCAGUGGGGAAUUUAGGACAAUGGGCGAAAGCCUGAUCCAGCCAUGCCGCGUGUGUGAAGAAGGCCUUGGGGUUGUAAAGCACUUUCGGACGGAACGAAAUCGCGCGGGUGAAUAUCCCGCGUGGAUGACGGUACCGUAAGAAGAAGCACCGGCUAACUACGUGCCAGCAGCCGCGGUAAUACGUAGGGUGCGAGCGUUAAUCGGAAUUACUGGGCGUAAAGUGUGCGCAGGCGGCGUCGCAAGUCGAGUGUGAAAGCCCCGGGCUUAACUUGGGAAUUGCGCUCGAAACUACGGUGCUGGAGUGUGGCAGAGGAAGGUGGAAUUCCACGU